UACGGAGGGUGCAAGCGUUAAUCGGAAUUACUGGGCGUAAAGGGUGUGUAGGUGGUUGAAUAAGUUAUCUGUGAAAGCCCUGGGCUCAACCUGGGAAGGUCAGAUAAGACUGUUUGACUCGAGUAUAAGAGAGGGUAGUGGAAUUUCCGGUGUAGCGGUGAAAUGCGUAGAGAUCGGAAGGAACACCAGUGGCGAAGGCGGCUACCUGGCUUAAUACUGACGCUGAAACACGAAAGCGUGGGGAGCAAACAGG
This 253-nucleotide ribosomal RNA is filed under the name uncultured bacterium. Its description in RNAcentral is "partial 16S ribosomal RNA". It matches the Rfam family "Bacterial small subunit ribosomal RNA", at positions 524 to 776 of the family's 1533-position model. The record is from RNAcentral.